UCUGCUGUACCCCAGUAUCUCUGAGGAACCAGCUAAAUGUGUUCCCUUCUCCAGAUAGUAUCUUGCUGUACCCCAGUAUAUCUGAGGAACCAGCUAAAUGUGUUUCCCCUCUCCAGAUGGUAUCAGCUGUUCCCCAGUAUCUCUGAGGAACCAGCUAAAUGUAUUCCCCUCUCCAGAUAGUAUCUGCUAAAUGUGUUUCCCCUCUCCAGAUAGUAUCUGCUGUACCCCAGUAUCUCUGAGGAACCAGCUAAAUGUGUUUCCCCUCUCCAGAUAGUAUCUGCUGUACCCCAGUAUCUCUGAGGAACCAGCUAAAUGUGUUCUCCUCUCCAGAUGGUAUAAGCUGUUCCCCAGUAUCUCUGAGGAACCAGCUAAAUGUAUUCCCCUCUCCAGAUAGUAUCUGCUGUACCCCAGUAUCUCUGAGGAACCAGCUAAAUGUGUUUCCCCUCUCCAGAUAGUAUCUGCUGUACCCCAGUAUCUCUGAGGAACUGCAAAAUUUGUUCCCCUCUCCAGAGAGUAUCUGCUGUACCCCAGUAUCUCUGAGGAACCAGCUAAAUGUGUUUCCCCUCUCCAGAUAGUAUCUGCUGUACCCCAGUAUCUCUGAGGAACCAGCUAAAUGUGUUCCCCUCUCCAGAUAGUAUCUGCAGUACCCCAGUAUCUCUGAGGAACCAGCUAAAUGUGUUCCCCUCUCCAGAUAGUACCUUGCUGUACCCCAGUAUCUCUGAGGAACCAGCUAUAUGUGUUCCCCUCUCCAGAUGGUAUCUCCUGUACCCCAGUAUCUCUGAGGAACCAGCUAAAUGUGUUUCCCUCUCCAGAUAGUAUCUGCUGUACCCCAGUAUCUCUGAGGAACCAGCUAAAUGUGUUCCCCUCUCCAGAUAGUAUCUUCCUGUACCCCAGAAUCUCUGAGGAACCAGCUAAAUGUAUUGCCCUCUCCAGAUAAUAUCUUGCUGUACCCCAGUAUCUCUGAGGAACCAGCUAAAUGUGUUCCCCUCUCCAGAUAGUAUCUGCUGUACCCCAGUAUCUCUGAGGAACCAGCUAAAUGUGUUCCCCUCUCCAGAUAGUAUCUUGCUGUACUCCAGUAUCUCUGAGGAACCAGCUAAAUGUGUUUCCCCUCUCCAGAUAGUAUAUGCUAAAUGUGUUCCCCCUCUCCAGAUUGUAUCUGCUGUACCCCAGUAUCUCUGAGGAACCAGCUAAAUGUGUUCCCCUCUCCAGAUAGUAUCUGCUGUACCCCAGUAUCUCUGAAGAACCAGCUAAAUGUGUUCCCCUCUCCAGAUAGUAUCUUGCUGUACUCCAGUAUCUCUGAGGAACCAGCUAAAUGUGUUUCCCCUCUCCAGAUAGUAUAUGCUAAAUGUGUUCCCCCUCUCCAGAUUGUAUCUGCUGUACCCCAGUAUCUCUGAGGAACCAGCUAAAUGUGUUUCUCUCUCCAGAUAGUAUCUGCUGUACCCAAGUAUCUCUGAGGAACCAGCUAAAUGUGUUCCCCUCUCCAGAUAGUAUCUUGCUGUACCCCAGUAUCUCUGAGGAACCAGCUAAAUGUAUUUCCCCUCUCCAGAUAGUAUCUGCUGUACCCCAGUAUCUCUGAGGAACCAGCUAAAUGUGUUCCCCUCUCCAGAUGGUAUCAGCUGUUCCCCAGUAUCUCUGAGGAACCAGCUAAAUGUGUUCCCCUCUCCAGAUAGUAUCUGCUGUACCCCUGUAUAUCUGAGGAACCAGCUAAAUGUGUUUCCCCUCUCCAGAUAGUAUCUGCUGUACCCCAGUAUCUCUGAGGAACCAGCUAAAUGUAUUCACCUCUCCAGAUAGUAUCUGCUGUACCCCAGUAUCUCUGAGGUACCAGCUAAAUGUGUUUCCCCUCUCCAGAUAGUAUCUACUGUACCCCAGUAUCUCUGAGGAACUGCAAAAUUUGUUCCCCUCUCCAGAGAGUAUCUGCUGUACCCCUGUAUCUCUGAGGAACCAGCUAAAUGUGUUUCCCCUCUCCAGAUAGUAUCUGCUGUACCCCAGUAUCUCUGAGGAACCAGCUAAAUGUGUUCCCCUCUCCAGAUAGUACCUUGCUGUACCCCAGUAUCUCUGAGGAACCAGCUAUAUGUGUUCCCCUCUCCAGAUGGUAUCUCCUUUACCCCAGUAUCUCUGAGGAACCAGCUAAAUGUGUUCCCCUCUCCAGAUAGUAUCUUGCUGUACUCCAGUAUCUCUGACGAACCAGCUAAAUGUAUUUCCCCUCUCCAGAUAUCAAUGAGUGUUUGCUGUACCCCAGUAUCUGUGAGGAACCAGCUAAAUGUAUUCCCCUCUCCAGAUAAUAUCUUGCUGUACCCCAGUAUCUCUGAGGAACCAGCUAAAUGUGUUCCCCUCUCCAGAUAGUAUCUGCUGUACCCCAGUAUCUCUGAGGAACCAGCUAAAUGUAUUUCCCCUCUCCAGAUAGUAUCUGCUGUACCCCAGUAUCUCUGAGGAACCAGCUAAAUGUGUUCCCCUCUCGAGAUAGUAUCUGCUAAAUGUGUUCCCCCUCUCCAGAUAGUAUCUGCUGUACCCCAGUAUCUCUGAGGAACCAGCUAAAUGUAUUCCCCUCUCCAGAUAGUAUCUGCUGUACCCCAGUAUCUCCGAGGAACCAGCUAAAUGUGUUCCCCUCUCCAGAUAGUAUCUGCUGUACCCCAGUAUCUCUGAGGAAC
Salmo salar (Atlantic salmon) is the source of this 2648-nucleotide non-coding RNA. The record is from RefSeq and is a predicted model, not a curated record. Lineage: Eukaryota; Metazoa; Chordata; Actinopteri; Salmoniformes; Salmonidae.